Molecule: ribosomal RNA, 550 nt
Filed under: uncultured bacterium
Lineage: Bacteria
Description: bacterial SSU rRNA
Rfam family: Bacterial small subunit ribosomal RNA
Source: RNAcentral
UAGGGAAUCUUCGGCAAUGGGGGCAACCCUGACCGAGCAACGCCGCGUGAGUGAAGAAGGUUUUCGGAUCGUAAAGCUCUGUUGUAAGUCAAGAACGAGUGUGAGAGUGGAAAGUUCACACUGUGACGGUAGCUUACCAGAAAGGGACGGCUAACUACGUGCCAGCAGCCGCGGUAAUACGUAGGUCCCGAGCGUUGUCCGGAUUUAUUGGGCGUAAAGCGAGCGCAGGCGGUUUGAUAAGUCUGAAGUUAAAGGCUGUGGCUCAACCAUAGUUCGCUUUGGAAACUGUCAAACUUGAGUGCAGAAGGGGAGAGUGGAAUUCCAUGUGUAGCGGUGAAAUGCGUAGAUAUAUGGAGGAACACCGGUGGCGAAAGCGGCUCUCUGGUCUGUAACUGACGCUGAGGCUCGAAAGCGUGGGGAGCGAACAGGAUUAGAUACCCUGGUAGUCCACGCCGUAAACGAUGAGUGCUAGGUGUUGGAUCCUUUCCGGGAUUCAGUGCCGCAGCUAACGCAUUAAGCACUCCGCCUGGGGAGUACGNCNNCAAGGUUG